UACAGAGGUCUCAAGCGUUGUUCGGAUUCAUUGGGCGUAAAGGGUGCGUAGGUGGCGGGGUAAGUCAGGUGUGAAAUCUCGGGGCUCAACCCCGAAACUGCACUUGAUACUGCCUUGCUCGAGUACUGGAGAGGAGAUUGGAAUUUACGGUGUAGCAGUGAAAUGCGUAGAUAUCGUAAGGAAGACCAGUGGCGAAGGCGAAUCUCUGGACAGUUACUGACACUGAGGCACGAAAGCGUGGGGAGCAAACAGG
Molecule: ribosomal RNA, 253 nt
Filed under: uncultured bacterium
Lineage: Bacteria
Description: partial 16S ribosomal RNA
Rfam family: Bacterial small subunit ribosomal RNA
Source: RNAcentral